CUCUGUAUUCUCUCGGCAGACUAUUGUGAAGGACGUCUCUGAUCGUUUGGAAGAUCCAUAGCCGUUGCAAAGCAAUUCCACCGUUCAAUUCUAGCUGGAUCAAGACCAGAAGCCAUGGUGGAGACGCGACCAAGCUCUUCUGGAUCCAAGCACACACUAAGUGAUCCCUCACCUCAAGUAAGCUUCAGAUAGACACUUGAAAUGUAUGCAUGACCGCUAAAAUGUCUUGCUGCCACAACUCACCAACUAGACACAUGGAUCUAAUUCAUCGAUUGGCUAUUGACAAUUUGGGGCAGACCUGCCGACCGUGGGGUCGCCGGCAGCUUCGAAGAACUCUGACCAUGGAUAUUUCCGGUUACUAUGGAUGGUGGUGGGGUCAGUCGACCCCACUCGACCCCACCUCCAUCCGC
Molecule: long non-coding RNA, 410 nt
Organism: Salvia splendens (bonfire salvia)
Lineage: Eukaryota; Viridiplantae; Streptophyta; Magnoliopsida; Lamiales; Lamiaceae
Exons: 3
Source: RefSeq, a predicted model, not a curated record